This 45-nucleotide non-coding RNA is filed under the name Schistosoma mansoni. Lineage: Eukaryota; Metazoa; Platyhelminthes; Trematoda; Strigeidida; Schistosomatidae. The record is from RNAcentral.
AUCCAACUGACGAGUCCAAAAUAGGAAGAAACGCGCGUUAUGGAU